Molecule: ribosomal RNA, 484 nt
Filed under: uncultured bacterium
Lineage: Bacteria
Description: bacterial SSU rRNA
Rfam family: Bacterial small subunit ribosomal RNA
Source: RNAcentral
AUUGAACGCUGGCGGCAUGCCUUACACAUGCAAGUCGAACGGCAGCACGGGAGCAAUCCUGGUGGCGAGUGGCGAACGGGUGAGUAAUAUAUCGGAACGUGCCCAGUAGUGGGGGAUAACUGCUCGAAAGAGCAGCUAAUACCGCAUACGACCUGAGGGUGAAAGGGGGGGAUCGCAAGACCUCUCGCUAUUGGAGCGGCCGAUAUCAGAUUAGCUAGUUGGUGGGGUAAAGGCCUACCAAGGCAACGAUCUGUAGUUGGUCUGAGAGGACGACCAGCCACACUGGGACUGAGACACGGCCCAGACUCCUACGGGAGGCAGCAGUGGGGAAUUUUGGACAAUGGGCGCAAGCCUGAUCCAGCAAUGCCGCGUGCAGGAAGAAGGCCUUCGGGUUGUAAACUGCUUUUGUCAGGGAAGAAAUCUUCUGGGCUAAUACCCCGGGAGGAUGACGGUACCUGAAGAAUAAGCACCGGCUAACUACGUG